Molecule: ribosomal RNA, 624 nt
Filed under: uncultured bacterium
Lineage: Bacteria
Description: bacterial SSU rRNA
Rfam family: Bacterial small subunit ribosomal RNA
Source: RNAcentral
AUUGAACGCUGGCGGCAGGCUUAACACAUGCAAGUCGAGCGGGGAAGGGUAGCUUGCUACCUGACCUAGCGGCGGACGGGUGAGUAAUGCUUAGGAAUCUGCCUAUUAGUGGGGGACAACAUUCCGAAAGGAAUGCUAAUACCGCAUACGCCCUACGGGGGAAAGCAGGGGAUCUUCGGACCUUGCGCUAAUAGAUGAGCCUAAGUCAAAUUAGCUAGUUGGUGGGGUAAAGGCCUACCAAGGCGACGAUCUGUAGCGGGUCUGAGAGGAUGAUCCGCCACACUGGGACUGAGACACGGCCCAGACUCCUACGGGAGGCAGCAGUGGGGAAUAUUGGACAAUGGGCGAAAGCCUGAUCCAGCCAUGCCGCGUGUGUGAAGAAGGCCUUUUGGUUGUAAAGCACUUUAAGCGAGGAGGAGGCUGCCGAGAUUAAUACUCUUGGAUAGUGGACGUUACUCGCAGAAUAAGCACCGGCUAACUCUGUGCCAGCAGCCGCGGUAAUACAGAGGGUGCGAGCGUUAAUCGGAUUUACUGGGCGUAAAGCGUGCGUAGGCGGCUUUUUAAGUCGGAUGUGAAAUCCCUGAGCUUAACUUAGGAAUUGCAUUCGAUACUGGGAAGCUAGAG